This 697-nucleotide ribosomal RNA is filed under the name Bacillus sp. (in: firmicutes). RNAcentral's name for it is "bacterial SSU rRNA". It matches the Rfam family "Bacterial small subunit ribosomal RNA", at positions 41 to 720 of the family's 1533-position model. The record is from RNAcentral. Lineage: Bacteria; Bacillati; Bacillota; Bacilli; Caryophanales; Bacillaceae.
GGCGUGCCUAAUACAUGCAAGUCGAGCGGACAGAUGGGAGCUUGCUCCCUGAUGUUAGCGGCGGACGGGUGAGUAACACGUGGGUAACCUGCCUGUAAGACUGGGAUAACUCCGGGAAACCGGGGCUAAUACCGGAUGGUUGUCUGAACCGCAUGGUUCAGACAUAAAAGGUGGCUUCGGCUACCACUUACAGAUGGACCCGCGGCGCAUUAGCUAGUUGGUGAGGUAACGGCUCACCAAGGCGACGAUGCGUAGCCGACCUGAGAGGGUGAUCGGCCACACUGGGACUGAGACACGGCCCAGACUCCUACGGGAGGCAGCAGUAGGGAAUCUUCCGCAAUGGACGAAAGUCUGACGGAGCAACGCCGCGUGAGUGAUGAAGGUUUUCGGAUCGUAAAGCUCUGUUGUUAGGGAAGAACAAGUGCCGUUCAAAUAGGGCGGCACCUUGACGGUACCUAACCAGAAAGCCACGGCUAACUACGUGCCAGCAGCCGCGGUAAUACGUAGGUGGCAAGCGUUGUCCGGAAUUAUUGGGCGUAAAGGGCUCGCAGGCGGUUUCUUAAGUCUGAUGUGAAAGCCCCCGGCUCAACCGGGGAGGGUCAUUGGAAACUGGGGAACUUGAGUGCAGAAGAGGAGAGUGGAAUUCCACGUGUAGCGGUGAAAUGCGUAGAGAUGUGGAGGAACACCAGUGGCGAAG